Molecule: ribosomal RNA, 305 nt
Filed under: uncultured bacterium
Lineage: Bacteria
Description: partial 16S ribosomal RNA
Rfam family: Bacterial small subunit ribosomal RNA
Source: RNAcentral
ACAGCAGCAGCCGCGGUAAUACGAAGGGUGCAAGCGUUACUCGGAAUUACUGGGCGUAAAGCGUGCGUAGGUGGUGGUUUAAGUCCGUUGUGAAAGCCCUGGGCUCAACCUGGGAAUUGCAGUGGAUACUGGGUCACUAGAGUGUGGUAGAGGAUAGUGGAAUUUUCGGUGUAGCAGUGAAAUGCGUAGAGAUCGGAAGGAACAUCUGUGGCGAAGGCGACUAUCUGGGCCAACACUGACACUGAGGCACGAAAGCGUGGGGAGCAAACAGGAUUAGAUACCCCAGUAGUCCCUGUCUCUUAUAC